GACUCGUCACACUAUCAUUAACUGAAUCCAUAGGUUAAUGAGGCGAACCGGGGGAACUGAAACAUCUAAGUACCCCGAGGAAAAGAAAUCAACCGAGAUUCCCCCAGUAGCGGCGAGCGAACGGGGAGGAGCCCAGAGCCUGAAUCAGCAUGUGUGUUAGUGGAAGCGUCUGGAAAGGCGCGCGAUACAGGGUGACAGCCCCGUACACAAAAGCGCAUGUGCUGUGAGCUCGAUGAGUAGGGCGGGACACGUGGUAUCCUGUCUGAAUAUGGGGGGACCAUCCUCCAAGGCUAAAUACUCCUGACUGACCGAUAGUGAACCAGUACCGUGAGGGAAAGGCGAAAAGAACCCCGGCGAGGGGAGUGAAAAAGAACCUGAAACCGUGUACGUACAAGCAGUGGGAGCACAGGUUUACCUGUGUGACUGCGUACCUUUUGUAUAAUGGGUCAGCGACUUAUAUUCUGUAGCAAGGUUAACCGUAUAGGGGAGCCGGAGGGAAACCGAGUCUUAAU
RNAcentral lists this ribosomal RNA (512 nucleotides) under Salmonella enterica. Its description in RNAcentral is "partial 23S ribosomal RNA". It matches the Rfam family "Bacterial large subunit ribosomal RNA", at positions 137 to 688 of the family's 2925-position model. Lineage: Bacteria; Pseudomonadati; Pseudomonadota; Gammaproteobacteria; Enterobacterales; Enterobacteriaceae. The record is from RNAcentral. RNAcentral also lists the same sequence under 2 other names.